Molecule: long non-coding RNA, 1663 nt
Filed under: Musa acuminata (dwarf banana)
Lineage: Eukaryota; Viridiplantae; Streptophyta; Magnoliopsida; Zingiberales; Musaceae
Description: long non-coding RNA (MACU_LNC006707)
Source: RNAcentral
AGACAUUUUCUCAAAUGCAAAGGGAAUCCAGUGAUGUUUGUGCAAAGGAAGCCCCUGGGCUCAUGAAGUUACCCACAGAUGGAACUCAGCUGGGCCUUGCAAGUUUCAAUUGAGUGCAACAUUUUUUAUAGCCAUUGUAGUUUGGUUGUGUAGAAAAACUUCUCUGUUCUUUCAUAGAAUUGCUUUGAGGCCAAGGAUUGCCAGCAUUCUCCUCUUCAGCCUAGUGAAUCAAUCGCAUUCCUCAAUAAGGCUCGAUAUCGAUUGCAAUUGUACUGUCUAGAAUAAAGUGAAGAAGAGACUCAGAUGAAGGAUGAGAAGGUUAUUUAUUGAUGAUGAGUUCUACGAAGGGAGGGAGGGAGGCUUAAGAGGAGGAGAAAGAAGAACAUUGUGCUUAUCUUUCUAGAGUUCUUCCUAUUAUAAUCAGCUACGAAGAACAACUUCAACAACACAAGAAACCUUCAUAAGCACAGUCCACCUAAUACCAGAAUCACACUUGGCAAACAGGAAAACUACAUUACCCAUUGCAGUUCAUGCUUAAGCAAGAUGAGUAAUCUGAGUUGUAGGUGUGUCAAUCAUUUCUUUCCAAAUAUACACCAAAGCUCAUAAUGUGGAGAUGAAAACUGCAGAUCCUCCUAUGAAUCAUGCACCGGAGAAGAAAAGUUUACUAGCCCAGAAUUGCAAAGCCCUUCAUCAAUAUUUCCAUGCCUAGAUUAUUUGUUUUUCCCCUUUUAUUUAAUGUUUGGAUUCUUGAAAUUUUGAAACAAUCUAAUCACUAUUGUCAUAAAGGAUAUUAAGAUCCCAAGAAAACUAUGACCUUAAAUUCUUAUAUGGAGACUGAGGUUGAGAGAGAAGAAGAAAGGGAUUGGACUGAAUUGAAGAUGGUAGAUAGCCAUACAUAUCUACCACUAUCACCGGGAACCAACUCUUUUCUUUCAUCAAAAGAAACUCUAUGUCAGAAGCAGCUAAACCAGUUUCGUCUGUUCUACGUCAAUCAUUUACUGCUGGCAGUUUCAAGUGCAAGAUCCUUACCCAUCCGCUAAGCAUAUUGAAGGUGUUGGCCAAAUCCUUAAACACAAAAUACGCAUUUUCGACCAAUUUCUCAAUUAUCACACAAUGUUAUACGAGUUGGCAAACCUAAAGAUCAGAUUAAAAUGCAGCACAGUAAAUAAUUAACCAGAUUCAAGCAACAACGAAUUCAAAGACCACGUACCAAGAAAGUUUCUCAUCAAGAAUCGAUUGUUCUACCGAAAAAGAAGCAGCAACGAAUUCAAAGAUCACAAGUUCUCAUCAAGAAUCGAUUGGUCUAGCGAAAAAGACGAAAGAAAGGGAUCAAAGGGACGUGCACGCAAUCCAAGAUCGCAGACCAAGAAUGAACUCAUGAAAUUUGCCGCAGGAACUCAAUCGCUGAAUCAAAGAUCGGAAGGGUCACAUUAAGAACCGACUCUUCCGGCGAAAACGAAACAGAAGAGAGAAAUGGAUACAAGGAAUCGAAGGGACAGAACUCGAUCAACGAAUCGAAGCUUACAGACCAAGAAAAUCUUCAACGAGAAUCGAAAAUGAAUGGAACCGAUCAAAUAUACCUUGGGUUUCCUCAACUCACCUGUUUUCCGAUCCACAUGGGGAAGACACUUCGAAGGAGGCUAAGAAAGACCAGAGAAAGGAA